GAUUUGCAAAACUAGCCUUUUUU
This 23-nucleotide small nuclear RNA is filed under the name Arabidopsis thaliana (thale cress). Its description in RNAcentral is "snRNA_07925". Lineage: Eukaryota; Viridiplantae; Streptophyta; Magnoliopsida; Brassicales; Brassicaceae. The record is from RNAcentral.